RNAcentral lists this ribosomal RNA (1225 nucleotides) under metagenome. Its description in RNAcentral is "bacterial LSU rRNA". It matches the Rfam family "Bacterial large subunit ribosomal RNA", at positions 1565 to 2800 of the family's 2925-position model. The record is from RNAcentral.
CGGGUAUGAACGAUUUAUCGUUCUAAGUGAGUGACGUCACACUGCCAAGAAAAGCUUCUAGUUAGAAUCAGACCGCCCGUACCGCAAACCGACACAGGUAGUCGGGUCGAGAAGACCAAGGUGAGCGAGAGAACUCUCGUUAAGGAACUCGGCAAAAUGACCCCGUAACUUCGGGAGAAGGGGUGCUGAUCGCAAGAUCAGCCGCAGUGAAUAGGCCCAGGCGACUGUUUAUCAAAAACACAGGUUUCUGCAAAAUCGUAAGAUGAAGUAUAGGGGCUGACGCCUGCCCGGUGCUGGAAGGUUAAGGGGAUGGGUUAGCGUAAGCGAAGCUCAGAAUUGAAGCCCCAGUAAACGGCGGCCGUAACUAUAACGGUCCUAAGGUAGCGAAAUUCCUUGUCGGGUAAGUUCCGACCCGCACGAAAGGCGUAACGAUCUGGGCACUGUCUCAACGAGAGACUCGGUGAAAUUAUAAUACCCGUGAAGAUGCGGGUUACCCGCGACAGGACGGAAAGACCCCAUGGAGCUUUACUGUAGCUUGAUAUUGGGUGUUUGUACAACUUGUACAGGAUAGGUAGGAGCCGUAGAAGUCGGGACGCUAGUUUCGACGGAGGCAUCGGUGGGAUACUACCCUCGUUGUAUGAACACUCUAACCCACGCCGGCAAUCACGGCGGGAGACAGUGUCAGGUGGGCAGUUUGACUGGGGCGGUCGCCUCCUAAAAGGUAACGGAGGCGCCCAAAGGUUCCCUCAGAAUGGUUGGAAAUCAUUCGCAGAGUGUAAAGGCAUAAGGGAGCUUGACUGCGAGACCUACAAGUCGAGCAGGGACGAAAGUCGGGCUUAGUGAUCCGGUGGUUCCGCAUGGAAGGGCCAUCGCUCAACGGAUAAAAGCUACCCUGGGGAUAACAGGCUUAUCUCCCCCAAGAGUCCACAUCGACGGGGAGGUUUGGCACCUCGAUGUCGGCUCAUCGCAUCCUGGGGCUGUAGUCGGUCCCAAGGGUUGGGCUGUUCGCCCAUUAGAGCUGUACGCGAGCUAGGUUCAGAACGUCGUGAGACAGUUCGGUCCCUAUCCGUCGCGGGCGCAGGAAAUUUGAGAGGAUCUGUCCUUAGUACGAGAGGACCGGGAUGGACAUACCGCUGGUGUACCAGUUGUUCUGCCAAGGGCAUCGCUGGGUAGCUAUGUAUGGAUGAGAUAAACGCUGAAAGCAUCUAAGUGCGAAACUCACCUC